Molecule: ribosomal RNA, 206 nt
Filed under: uncultured bacterium
Lineage: Bacteria
Description: partial 16S ribosomal RNA
Rfam family: Bacterial small subunit ribosomal RNA
Source: RNAcentral
GAUAAACGCUGGCGGCGUGCCUAAUGCAUGCAAGUCGCACGGAGUCAUCUUUCGGGUGAUUGAGUGGCGAACGGGUGAGGAACGCGUGGACAACCUCCCGCGUGGGGAGUACCGCCAGAAAUGCGGCUAAUAACGCGUACGGUCCAGGGNGGACGGGCUCCCUGGAAGGAAAAGCAAGUGAUGCGCGCUGGGAGGGGUCGUCGCGG